Molecule: unclassified non-coding RNA, 293 nt
Filed under: Melitaea cinxia (Glanville fritillary)
Lineage: Eukaryota; Metazoa; Arthropoda; Insecta; Lepidoptera; Nymphalidae
Description: misc RNA ENSMCXG00005017631.1
Source: RNAcentral
AAAACGGACCUCAAAAAUAAAUGUCGGUUAUUAACAUUUCGUCGAUUACAAGUAUCAACGAUAUCUAUCAAUUUGUUCUUUUACGACCUUACGUGCCUGUCUCAGCGCCUCUAAAACCCGGCGCUCGGUUCACAUCUCUUCGUGCACUAUAGGUAAAGCCGCCCCAGAUUGAGAGACUACCUAUCCAGAGGAGCACGGAAUAACUGAAGAAGUCAACAAAAAGUAACAAAUAGUCGUUUUAACGGAUUUCAAUCGUAACGCUAUUUACCCAUACGUUGCUGAACCCUUUGCAC